AGGACGAACGCUGGCGGCGUGCUUAACACAUGCAAGUCGAGCGGUAAGGCUCCUUCGGGAGUACACGAGCGGCGAACGGGUGAGUAACACGUGAGCAAUCUGCCCUUCACAUCGGAAUAAACCUCGGGAAACCGGGGCUAAUACCGGAUACGACCAUCGGUGGCAUCAUCUGAUGGUGGAAAGUUCCGGCGGUGAAGGAUGAGCUCGUGGCCUAUCAGCUUGUUGGUGGGGUAAUGGCCUACCAAGGCGACGACGGGUAGCCGGCCUGAGAGGGUGACCGGCCACACUGGGACUGAGACACGGCCCAGACUCCUACGGGAGGCAGCAGUGGGGGAAUAUUGGACAAUGGGCGAAAGCCUGAUCCAGCAACGCCGCGUGAGGGAUGACGGCCUUCGGGUUGUAAACCUCUUUCAGCAGGGACGAAGCGAAAGUGACGGUACCUGCAGAAGAAGCACCGGCCAACUACGUGCCAGCAGCCGC
This 480-nucleotide ribosomal RNA is filed under the name uncultured bacterium. Its description in RNAcentral is "SSU rRNA". It matches the Rfam family "Bacterial small subunit ribosomal RNA", at positions 26 to 518 of the family's 1533-position model. The record is from RNAcentral.